RNAcentral lists this ribosomal RNA (262 nucleotides) under uncultured bacterium. RNAcentral's name for it is "partial 16S ribosomal RNA". It matches the Rfam family "Bacterial small subunit ribosomal RNA", at positions 1229 to 1500 of the family's 1533-position model. The record is from RNAcentral.
UAGGUAGGUACAGAGGGCAGCCACCCAGUGAUGGGGAGCGAAUCUCGAAAGCCUAUCUCAGUUCGGAUUGGAGGCUGAAACUCGCCUCCAUGAAGUUGGAUUCGCUAGUAAUCGCGCAUCAGCCAUGGCGCGGUGAAUACGUUCCCGGGCCUUGUACACACCGCCCGUCAAGCCAUGGGAGUUGGGGGUGCCUGAAGUUCGUGACCGAAAGGAGCGACCUAGGGCAAAACCGAUGACUGGGGCUAAGUCGUAACAAGGUAAC